UGAGGGGAUACUGAUAGGCCAGGGCUGUAUUUCGCUGUACCUAUGGGAAAGCAUUGAGAUCUUCAAGAUUGUGAUCUCAGCCAUGAAGGCGGGGCAAGCUGCAGUGUGAGAGAAAAGUAUGUUUCAAACCUUUUUAGAGUGAUCUGAGUGGCUACAAGUGUGUAUUCCAGGCACUACAGUGUUCCUUUAAAGAAAGCAUGUCAAACUCGAGUCCCACAAUGGACAUCUUUGCGGCGAGCCGCGAGU
Non-coding RNA from Pelobates cultripes (western spadefoot toad), 246 nucleotides. NCBI's taxonomy places the organism in Eukaryota, Metazoa, Chordata, Amphibia, Anura, Pelobatidae. The record is from the annotation of a GenBank genome assembly.